This 440-nucleotide ribosomal RNA is filed under the name uncultured bacterium. Its description in RNAcentral is "partial 16S ribosomal RNA". It matches the Rfam family "Bacterial small subunit ribosomal RNA", at positions 338 to 795 of the family's 1533-position model. The record is from RNAcentral.
CCUACGGGAGGCAGCAGUGGGGGAUAUUGCACAAUGGGCGAAACCCUGAUGCAGCGACGCCGCGUGUGGGAAGACGGUCCUCUGGAUUGUAAACCACUGUCCCCAGGGACGAAAAUGACGGUACCUGGGGAGGAAGCUCCGGCCAACUACGUUCCAGCAGCCGCGGUAAUACGGAGGGAGCGAGUGUUGUCCGGAAUUACUGGGUGUAAAGGGAGCGUAGGCGGGACUGCAAGUUGGGGGUAAAAUCUACCGGCUCAACCGGUAGCCGCACUCAACACUGGAGUUUUUGAGUGAAGUAGAGGCAGGCGGAAUUCCUAGUGUAGCGGUGAAAUGCGUAGAUAUGAGGAGGAACACCAGUGGCGAAGGCGGCCUGCUGGGCUUUUACUGACGCUGAGGCUCGAAAGUGUGGGGAGCAAACAGGAUUAGAUACCCUUGUAGUC